This 492-nucleotide ribosomal RNA is filed under the name uncultured bacterium. RNAcentral describes it as "partial 16S ribosomal RNA". It matches the Rfam family "Bacterial small subunit ribosomal RNA", at positions 29 to 507 of the family's 1533-position model. The record is from RNAcentral.
AGUGAACGCUGGCGGUAGGCCUAACACAUGCAAGUCGAACGGCAGCACAGUAAGAGCUUGCUCUUACGGGUGGCGAGUGGCGGACGGGUGAGGAAUACAUCGGAAUCUACUUUUUCGUGGGGGAUAACGUAGGGAAACUUACGCUAAUACCGCAUACGACCUACGGGUGAAAGCAGGGGAUCUUCGGACCUUGCGCGAAUGAAUGAGCCGAUGUCGGAUUAGCUAGUUGGCGGGGUAAAGGCCCACGAAGGCGACGAUCCGUAGCUGGUCUGAGAGGAUGAUCAGCCACACUGGAACUGAGACACGGUCCAGACUCCUACGGGAGGCAGCAGUGUGGAAUAUUGGACAAUGGGCGCAAGCCUGAUCCAGCCAUACCGCGUGGGUGAAGAAGGCCUUCGGGUUGUAAAGCCCUUUUGUUGGGAAAGAAAAGCAGCAGGUUAAUACCCCGCUGUUCUGACGGUACCCAAAGAAUAAGCACCGGCUAACUUCGUG